UACGUAGGGUGCAAGCGUUAAUCGGAAUUACUGGGCGUAAAGCGUGCGCAGGCGGUUUUGUAAGUCUGAUGUGAAAGCCCCGGGCUCAACCUGGGAAUUGCGUUGGAGACUGCAAGGCUUGAAUCUGGCAGAGGGGGGUAGAAUUCCACGUGUAGCAGUGAAAUGCGUAGAGAUGUGGAGGAACACCGAUGGCGAAGGCAGCCCCCUGGGUCAAGAUUGACGCUCAUGCACGAAAGCGUGGGGAGCAAACAGG
This 253-nucleotide ribosomal RNA is filed under the name uncultured bacterium. RNAcentral's name for it is "partial 16S ribosomal RNA". It matches the Rfam family "Bacterial small subunit ribosomal RNA", at positions 524 to 776 of the family's 1533-position model. The record is from RNAcentral.